UACAGAGGGUGCGAGCGUUGUCCGGAAUCACUGGGCGUAAAGGGCGCGUAGGGGGCCUGGUAAGUAGGGGGUGAAAUCUCGCGGCUCAACUGCGAGGCUGCCUCCUAAACUGUCAGGCUCGAGCAGAGUAGAGGCAGGUGGAAUUCCCGGUGUAGCGGUGGAAUGCGUAGAGAUCGGGAAGAACAUCGGUGGCGAAGGCGGCCUGCUGGGCUCUUGCUGACACUGAGGCGCGACAGCGUGGGGAGCAAACAGG
Molecule: ribosomal RNA, 253 nt
Filed under: uncultured bacterium
Lineage: Bacteria
Description: partial 16S ribosomal RNA
Rfam family: Bacterial small subunit ribosomal RNA
Source: RNAcentral